This 463-nucleotide ribosomal RNA is filed under the name uncultured bacterium. RNAcentral's name for it is "partial 16S ribosomal RNA". It matches the Rfam family "Bacterial small subunit ribosomal RNA", at positions 30 to 507 of the family's 1533-position model. The record is from RNAcentral.
CGAACGCUGGCGGCGUGCUUAACACAUGCAAGUCGACCGGAAAGGCCCCUUUGGGGGUCCUCGAGUGGCGAACGGGUGAGUAACACGUGAGUAACCUGCCCUUGACUUCGGGAUAACUUCAGGAAACUGGGGCUAAUACCGGAUAGGAAUCCUUGCUGCAUGGUGGGGGUUGGAAAGCUUCGGCGGUUUUGGAUGGACUCGCGGCUUAUCAGCUUGUUGGUGGGGUAGUGGCUUACCAAGGCUUUGACGGGUAGCCGGCCUGAGAGGGCGACCGGCCACAUUGGGACUGAGAGACGGCCCAGACUCCUACGGGAGGCAGCAGUGGGGAAUAUUGCACAAUGGGCGGAAGCCCGAUGCAGCAACGCCGCGUGCGGGAUGACGGCCUUCGGGUUGUAAACCGCUUUCAGCAGGGGCGAAGCUUGUGGUGACGGUACCUGCAGAAGAAGCACCGGCUAACUACGUG